UACUACUGCCUCGUGGAUAUACUGCAACGAGGAGAAGCAUUCUGUAACUCAAGUAAAGAAUGUGGAUUUCAGGAUGGUUUUCAAAACGGAACAUGUGAAAUUACAAAACCAAAAGGGCCAAGCACGUGUACUUUACAGGCCUCAAGCGACGACAUUAAUAAACACCAACGCCAACAGGCAAGACUAUACACCCGCACACGAUACACCACGCUUCAAGGUUAUGACAGCAGUUGCAAACUUCCCCAUAUGAACCCUUUAACUGUUCUUACUUGCACAGGGCAACGACUCCGUUACAAACAACACGGGUGACAGGUAAGUACCAACCAAGACCUUUAUUACAAAGUUUCACAAAAAAUUGUACUUUACAUAAAACCUAUUUUCCUAUCCCGUCCUGGACCAUACAUCCUGCUGAACCCCGGCCGACGAACAGCGGAGCUUGCACAGGUAAGCAAACCACACAUUAAAAAGAAAAAGAAUCAGAGUAAAUACGUACACAUUUGAUCCACUGGAAAGGAGGCCACCCUUUCUAUUUCUCAGUUCACAUUAUCAACUCGUGACAGCGACAAAACUGCUGUACUGGGUCACGUGCAGCCACAUGGGGAUGUUGUAAUCCAUUUGGUGUGACAGCAAUAACUUAUCGAUUGUAAACAUAGUGUAGCGACCACAUUUAAAGACUAUAGACAUGCUCUGAAGCUCUGUGCUAACCAGAUGGAUCUUGAGAAAUAGUCAAACCAAAGUUCCCAACACAUGGAGGAUUGAACUUGCUCAAACCCUUUCAUACUGGAAUAGGCAUCAAUACUUCAGACUGUGACACCACAAACAUAUUGCAUAGUGUAGUGUUACCAGAGACCACGCCACCUUGGUUGUUUUGCCCAAGGAAACUGAACCAUUAGGAACCUUAAUCAUUCUGUUCACACCGAUCUCUUAAUUUAAAUUAAGAAUGAAGAGCAAGAGACCUGUAUUGAGUCUAACAAAAUUCACUUUAACACAAAAAAGAUGUCAAGUCCAUGCAAUUCAGUGUUCGGAGCAAGAAUUCAGAAGGGACCGAAGGAAUGGCAUUAAGGAAUAUCACUAGUCUAGACCCGGAGAGGUCUGUCCAAGGGGGAGCUAAUACUAUUUUGAAUCUUUCAAACUCUAACCCCCAUGUGCCCAUGCCCUGCAACACACACACAGAAAAUCAGCUCCUCUUUAUCCAGAGUGAUUUACAAAGAUUACACUUUUGCAUAAAGCUAGAUAUUUUUACUAAUUCAGGUUAAGUAGCUCGCUCAAGGGUACAGUGGCAGAAUCAAACCUGCAACCGAGGAGCGAGGGUCACUGACACUGCACUGCCAAGAGGUUUAGGGAGUUGGGCUUGCAACUCCUCAGCUGCAGGAUU
Anguilla anguilla (European eel) is the source of this 1375-nucleotide long non-coding RNA. RefSeq lists it as uncharacterized. The record is from RefSeq and is a predicted model, not a curated record. Lineage: Eukaryota; Metazoa; Chordata; Actinopteri; Anguilliformes; Anguillidae. The transcript is spliced from 3 exons.